GGUUGUUUGGCCGAGCGGUCUAAGGCGCCUGAUUCAAGAAAAUUAAAUAUCUUGACUGUGGAACACCACAGGAAUACUCAGGUAUCGUAAGAUGCAAGAGUUCGAAUCUCUUAGCAACCA
RNAcentral lists this transfer RNA (120 nucleotides) under Naumovozyma castellii. Its description in RNAcentral is "tRNA-Leu". It matches the Rfam family "tRNA". From Rfam's summary of the family: Transfer RNA (tRNA) molecules are approximately 80 nucleotides in length. Their secondary structure includes four short double-helical elements and three loops (D, anti-codon, and T loops). Further hydrogen bonds mediate the characteristic L-shaped molecular structure. tRNAs have two regions of fundamental functional importance: the anti-codon, which is responsible for specific mRNA codon recognition, and the 3' end, to which the tRNAs corresponding amino acid is attached (by aminoacyl-tRNA synthetases). tRNAs cope with the degeneracy of the genetic code in two manners: having more than one tRNA (with a specific anti-codon) for a particular amino acid; and 'wobble' base-pairing, i.e. permitting non-standard base-pairing at the 3rd anti-codon position. The record is from RNAcentral. Lineage: Eukaryota; Fungi; Ascomycota; Saccharomycetes; Saccharomycetales; Saccharomycetaceae.